UAUUUUUGGAGAGGAAUUCUAACAUUGCUUUGUCCACAUCUCAAUCUGCUAUUGUGGAAGAGAUGGUUCUUUUAUGGAUCCCCUGAAUGAAGCCAAGGAGGAAGAACUUCUGCUCUCUUUCACCAAUUUCAGCCACAGUUGGAAGAUUUUCAAGACUACUAAAUGAAGCAUUCGAUUUGAGGUUAUGGAAAUGUAGGUGUCUUAAGACUGUAGGUGCCUACAGACAGCAAGUGUCCAAAUUCCUGACACAGUAAGCAGAGACUUGGUUUCAAUUCAACUUCCUCCAAAACCACCCAGUGACAUUUGAUACAAACUUGCAUAUCAUGCAUGGUUUCCCCCUGCCACUGCAGCAGAGACUCUCACUGGUCCUACAUCCAAUUUGUCUAGCCCACAUGGUGAGCAAGUGCCUCUCUAACAGUGCUGGACUCCUGACCACAAAAUGAUGCUCUGAGGCAAUUCA
Long non-coding RNA from Pogoniulus pusillus (Red-fronted tinkerbird), 460 nucleotides. RefSeq lists it as uncharacterized. The transcript is spliced from 2 exons. The record is from RefSeq and is a predicted model, not a curated record. NCBI's taxonomy places the organism in Eukaryota, Metazoa, Chordata, Aves, Piciformes, Lybiidae.